RNAcentral lists this ribosomal RNA (433 nucleotides) under uncultured bacterium. RNAcentral's name for it is "partial 16S ribosomal RNA". It matches the Rfam family "Bacterial small subunit ribosomal RNA", at positions 29 to 507 of the family's 1533-position model. The record is from RNAcentral.
AACGAACGCUGGCGGCAUGCCUAUCGCAUGCAAGUCGAACGAGACCUUCGGGUCUAGUGGCGCACGGGUGCGUAACGCGUGGGAACCUGCCCUUAGGUUCGGAAUAACUCCCCGAAAGGGGUGCUAAUACCGGAUAAUGUCUUCGGACCAAAGAUUUAUCGCCUUUGGAUGGGCCCGCGUUGGAUUAGCUAGUUGGUAGGGUAAAAGCCUACCAAGGCGACGAUCCAUAGCUGGUCUGAGAGGAUGAUCAGCCACACUGGGACUGAGACACGGCCCAGACUCCUACGGGAGGCAGCAGUGGGGAAUAUUGGACAAUGGGCGAAAGCCUGAUCCAGCAAUGCCGCGUGAGUGAUGAAGGCCUUAGGGUUGUAAAGCUCUUUUACCCGGGAUGAUAAUGACAGUACCGGGAGAAUAAGCUCCGGCUAACUCCGUG